Long non-coding RNA from Rhagoletis zephyria (snowberry fruit fly), 107 nucleotides. RefSeq lists it as uncharacterized. Lineage: Eukaryota; Metazoa; Arthropoda; Insecta; Diptera; Tephritidae. The record is from RefSeq and is a predicted model, not a curated record.
UUUGUAUAUGCAGUAAAACAAAUGGCAAUCAAUUAAUAUUAGGGCUGUUCAGGAUGUUGUGGGAAUGGUCUUGGAUUUUUAGUUGGAAUCACAUUUGCAUUUUGCAU